UUGUUUCCUCAACACAUAUACUAAAAUUGAAACAAUACAGAGAAGAUUAACAUGGCCCCUGCACAAGGAUGACAUGAAAAUUCAUGAAGCAUUCCAUAUUUUU
Molecule: small nuclear RNA, 103 nt
Organism: Phyllostomus discolor (pale spear-nosed bat)
Lineage: Eukaryota; Metazoa; Chordata; Mammalia; Chiroptera; Phyllostomidae
Source: RefSeq, a predicted model, not a curated record